This 77-nucleotide transfer RNA is filed under the name Clostridium autoethanogenum. Its description in RNAcentral is "tRNA-Ile". Lineage: Bacteria; Bacillati; Bacillota; Clostridia; Eubacteriales; Clostridiaceae. The record is from RNAcentral.
GACGUUACCGUUGCUACCGUGCUCUUUGGUGCUGGUUUUACUGUAAUUGUAUACGUCACCUUUGUUGUUCCAUCUUC